AGAGAGGUAAAUCAUGAGCUCAGACCUAUCU
Molecule: non-coding RNA, 31 nt
Filed under: Rattus norvegicus (Norway rat)
Lineage: Eukaryota; Metazoa; Chordata; Mammalia; Rodentia; Muridae
Source: RNAcentral